Molecule: ribosomal RNA, 253 nt
Filed under: uncultured bacterium
Lineage: Bacteria
Description: partial 16S ribosomal RNA
Rfam family: Bacterial small subunit ribosomal RNA
Source: RNAcentral
GACGAAGGGGGCAAGCGUUAUCCGGAAUUAUUGGGCUUAAAGGGGACGUAGGCGGCUGGUCAAGUCUGGGGUCAAAGGUCUCAGCUCAACUGAGGGAAGGCCCUCGAAACUGACCGGCUAGAGUGAGGUAGGGGUUGCGGGAAUUACCGGUGUAGCGGUGAAAUGCGCAGAUAUCGGGAAGAACACCUGAGGCGGAAGCGAGUAACUGGGCCUCAACUGACGCUGAGGAACGCAAGCUAGGGGAGCGAACGGU